Molecule: ribosomal RNA, 460 nt
Filed under: uncultured bacterium
Lineage: Bacteria
Description: partial 16S ribosomal RNA
Rfam family: Bacterial small subunit ribosomal RNA
Source: RNAcentral
CCUACGGGUGGCAGCAGUGAGGAAUAUUGGUCAAUGGCCGGAAGGCUGAACCAGCCAAGUCGCGUGAGGGACGACUGCCCUAUGGGUUGUAAACUUCUUUUAUAAGGGAAGAAUAAAUGCUACGUGUAGCAUGAUGCAUGUACCUUAUGAAUAAGCAUCGGCUAACUCCGUGCCAGCAGCCGCGGUAAUACGGAGGAUGCGAGCGUUAUCCGGAUUUAUUGGGUUUAAAGGGGGGUUAGGGGGUUUGUUAAGUUUAGUGGUAAAGCUUGGGGCUUUACCCUUAUAUUGCCAUUGAUACUGUAAGACUCGAGUGCAGACGAGGUAGGCGGAAUAAGUGGAGUAGCGGUGAAAUGCUUAGAUAUAACGUAGAACUCCGAUAGCGAAGGCAGCUUACCAGACUGCGACUGACGCUGAGGCACGAGAGCGUGGGUAGCAAACAGGAUUAGAUACCCCAGUAGUC